UUUCCGUAGGUGAACCUGCGGAAGGAUCAUUAUUGUAUAACCGAGGUGCGAGGGCUGUCGCUGACCCGAAAGGUCGUGCACGCCCGAGUGCCCUCACACACAUCCAUUUCACCCCUAUGUGCACCACCGCGUGGGUCCCCCUUUGGCGUGUUCGGAGGGGGGCUUACGUUUUCACACAAACUUUGUAUGCAGUGUAGAAUGUAUUUUUUGUUUUUGCGAUCACGCAAUCAAUACAACUUUCAACAACGGAUCUCUUGGCUCUC
RNAcentral lists this unclassified non-coding RNA (263 nucleotides) under plant metagenome. Its description in RNAcentral is "partial contains small subunit ribosomal RNA, internal transcribed spacer 1, and 5.8S ribosomal RNA". The record is from RNAcentral.